Molecule: unclassified non-coding RNA, 209 nt
Filed under: plant metagenome
Description: partial contains small subunit ribosomal RNA, internal transcribed spacer 1, and 5.8S ribosomal RNA
Source: RNAcentral
UCUCCGUUGGUGAACCAGCGGAGGGAUCAUUACUGGAAUCGCAAGAUCCCACAACCCUGUGAACCUACCGAAACGUUGCCUCGGCGGGUGCCCGGCCUCUGCGCCGGGCGCGGCGCCCGCCGGCGGCCCCCUACUCUGUCUCUGCAGCGUGGCAUCUCAGAGUCCCAGAAAACAAGUCAAAACUUUCAACAACGGAUCUCUUGGCUCUA